GGUCCAUUAGCUCAGUUGGUAGAGCGUCGUGCUGAUAACGCGAAGGUCGUGAGUUCAAGCCUCACAUGGACCA
This is a non-coding RNA of Halichondria panicea, 73 nucleotides long. NCBI's taxonomy places the organism in Eukaryota, Metazoa, Porifera, Demospongiae, Suberitida, Halichondriidae. The record is from the annotation of a RefSeq genome assembly.